RNAcentral lists this long non-coding RNA (417 nucleotides) under Dromaius novaehollandiae (emu). Its description in RNAcentral is "lncRNA (ENSDNVG00000012963.1)". Lineage: Eukaryota; Metazoa; Chordata; Aves; Casuariiformes; Dromaiidae. The record is from RNAcentral.
AAAGGGUUUGCCAAAGAAGUACGAUGGGCACAAGAGAAGAAUGCCUCCCAACAACCUGAGACUUGCACGCAGACUGCAGAUCUACUGCUGCAGUCUUUAAACUUGAAGAGCUGACAACUUUUCUGGCUUGUUUGAAUCGGCAAAACUUUUAACAUGUGAAAAGGAAAGAAUAUGCAUUCCUGCUCCAACCCCCUGCCUCCCUCCGCAGCAGCAGAGAUGACAAAUGAUCUUUCUGGCAACAACAUCAACUGCCUACAUUGGAAAUAAACAAUGUUUUGACAGCAAAUGAGUAUCAGUGUAGACACAAGCCUGCAUUCCAUGCUUGUAUGAAGCUGAACACAAGGCCUUGCAUGCUGCUGGAGGCAAAACUUCGUGAGUUUGCUUUAUGAAUUUGUAUUUUUAUAUAUUCAACAAAAC